This 75-nucleotide transfer RNA is filed under the name Trichonephila clavata. RNAcentral's name for it is "tRNA-Arg". The stretch from base 10 to 67 matches the Rfam family "tRNA", at positions 8 to 63 of the family's 71-position model. From Rfam's summary of the family: Transfer RNA (tRNA) molecules are approximately 80 nucleotides in length. Lineage: Eukaryota; Metazoa; Arthropoda; Arachnida; Araneae; Nephilidae. The record is from RNAcentral.
GUCCCUGUGUAGCGCCAUGGAUAGCGCGUUGGACUUCUAAUCCAAAGGUUGUGGGUUCGAAUCCCACGUGGGAUG